CACGUAGGGGGCGAGCGUUGUCCGGAUUUAUUGGGCGUAAAGAGCUCGUAGGCGGCUCGGUAAGUCGGGUGUGAAACCUCCAGGCUCAACCUGGAGACGCCACUCGAUACUGCCGUGGCUAGAGUCCGGUAGAGGAGCGUAGAAUUCCUGGUGUAGCGGUGAAAUGCGCAGAUAUCAGGAGGAAUACCAGCGGCGAAGGCGGCGCUCUGGGCCGGUACUGACGCUGAGGAGCGAAAGCGUGGGGAGCAAACAGG
Molecule: ribosomal RNA, 254 nt
Filed under: uncultured bacterium
Lineage: Bacteria
Description: partial 16S ribosomal RNA
Rfam family: Bacterial small subunit ribosomal RNA
Source: RNAcentral